GCCGCUUUAGUUAAAUGGUAUAACAGGCCUCUCGUAAGGGCCCAUUGGCAGUUCGAUUCUACCAAGCGGCACCA
Molecule: transfer RNA, 74 nt
Filed under: Bacilli bacterium
Lineage: Bacteria; Bacillati; Bacillota; Bacilli
Description: tRNA-Thr
Rfam family: tRNA
About the family: Transfer RNA (tRNA) molecules are approximately 80 nucleotides in length. Their secondary structure includes four short double-helical elements and three loops (D, anti-codon, and T loops).
Source: RNAcentral